Lycium barbarum (goji berry) is the source of this 2469-nucleotide long non-coding RNA. RefSeq lists it as uncharacterized. The transcript has 5 exons. The record is from RefSeq and is a predicted model, not a curated record. Lineage: Eukaryota; Viridiplantae; Streptophyta; Magnoliopsida; Solanales; Solanaceae.
UUCUUUGAUGCAUAAUUACAAGUUAAAAUGGAAUUAGUCAAUCCAGGAGAUGAACUCUCAAGGAAGGUAGAAGCCGGUUCAGGGCUUUGAUUCGAGAAUUAAGCUAAUUGAGAUAUAGAAUUGAGAGAGAAUGAAGUGAAACGAAUUGUACAUAGAUACAGAAUCAAGGUGAAUGCUAUAGAGGAAUGAUCAUGAUUAUGGAUGCACAGACGAUUGUGAAGGAACUGAGGGAGACGUACGCGAGGGGGAACAUAAGGAGUACAAGUGGAGAGCGUAGCAGUUGAAAGCUCUGUUGAGGAUUUCUAAGCAUCUAACCUGUCUAAGCCUGAACUUGAAUCCUUUGUUCAUGAGGUUUAUCACCUUCUUCUUCCUUGCAUCAUCUGCAUAUCUGUCUGUUUACGUGCUUUCGGUUACAUAUAUAUUAUACAUAUAAUUUUGGGGACAGCAAGGAGGAAUGGACUACAUAAUUGGUUAUAUUUUCUUAUGUGAGGAAACUCUUGAGGUUUUAGCCCCUCUACGAAUAAUAUUUGAACAAUAAAGUUGAGGAUUGAUAGGAAAUUCUGACUUUUCAGCAUCUUCCUUACAAUUUAUGAAACAUUAAGUUGGAAUUGGAAUUAUCACGUGCUUGUCUGUUGCAAGUACUCAAUCUCUUCUGGUAUUUUGUGUUACAAGCUUAUGUAUUUUGAAUUAAACAUGCAAUUUUAAAGACUUUUUUCUUUCUAUCUUUUUUAUCUUUUCCUCCCAUUGGUGACUUCUCUAUUUCCUUGAAUAGUGACAAUGAAGGAGUUAGUAAGAAUAUCUCAAACAACAACAACAACAUACCCAGUGUAUAUCCGCAAGUAGGGUCUGGGGAGGGUAGGAUGUACACAGACCUUACCCCAGGAAAGCUAUUUUCGAGAGACCGCCAGCUCGAAAAAAAAAACUCAAGUCCAGGGAUUGGAGAAAGAACUUGGUUUUUGAGAAAAAUGGAGGAAGUACAGGGAUAGAUUUCACAGGAGGUGUCAAGCUCGAGCUGACACAGAAGCUGAUUCUCAAAUGAAGGAAAAAUUGAUUAGCUUGGCCAGGAAAGUUAGGAAGAUUGAUGAUGAAAUGGAAGGGAUACUGAACUUCUCAAAGAGAUACAAGAUGAUGUUCAAGGACUUCACUGGUGAAUCUUUAGGCAGCUAACUUUGCUUUCAGAUACUUAUGACAGCUUGGAGAACCAAGAUGGUAAAGGGGCUUUGCUCAUAGCGUUAUUGUUCUUUUAGCUUUGAUGGUCUGAGUUAUGGCUUGAUGUUGGCAGUGGAAGGGAAUCGCAACUGUUCUGCAGCAUGUUGCAUUUUGAACUUUUCUGCCGGAAAAAUAAAAUGAACUAUAAUUUCAUGGUAUGUGAUUUCAAGUUAAACUAGCUAGGGAUGCAAAGAAUUAUUGUUGUUAGCUUCAGUGUUGUUAAAAGAUCAUUGCAGGACUGCCUAAACCCUAGGAUGCAAAGGAUUGUUGCUAUUAGCUUUACUGUUGUUAAAAGACGAUUACAGAACUGUUGAAGCACUGAGGCUCAGCGGAACACGGUUGGUCACUUUGUCUUGCCUAAGUGGUUGUUUGCUACAAGCACCAAGUCAUUAAGGUGUGUGCCUCAAUGCCAAUGGAAUUUGUUCUCAAGAAGGAAACACUAAAGAUAAAUAUAGCAAGCGAUGUGAUAUAUCAGUUGUUAAGGACACACUAUGGAUGAAUAUGCCAUUAUUCGGAACUGAGAGAAGAAGUUAGAAAUUCAGAAUAAGAUAGAUAUUAACCGGUCUAAAUUAGAAACUUAAACUUGCAUCUUUGCAUUUGAAAUAUAAAUUUAAAAUUAAUUCUGAACUUAACUGAUGCCAUUUUUGCUUUAUAUAUUCCUUUUAAUUGCAGUCUCUUUAACAUAAGAAAUUAUGAGUUCUACAGGAACACGUGAAGUUAGUUCAAUAUUGACACUUCUAUGCUACUCUCUCAUUAACCAAUUUUAUUGUUGUUAACACCUCAUAUUCUUUUAAGAGUAUUUAGCUGCAAAUUGUUAAACUGUAUCAGCUAAUGCUUUGAUGCAAGGAUAUUUCAGCUAUUAUAGGAGACAAAUGAUGGAUUUUGAUAUAUGGCUCAUCUCUUCUGGGAUUGAAUUCAGUUCUAUGCAAGACAAUAAUUCUUCGGAUUUCCUGGGGCCUGCAUUUCACAAUGCAGGGAUACAUUUACAGAAUGACGCAUUUGCACGCUAGGAUCUCUAGUAUCAGCGGAUUGGUGAGCCCUAGUCUUCUGGGGAUUAUCAUUUAUUUUAGUCAUUACAGUAUUUAUGUUAUUAUAGACAGUCAGGUAUGCUGGAGGCCUUGUCCCAGCAACAGUUAGUUAUAGCUUUUUAUGGAGGUUUCAUAGACUAUGUUAGUAGUCAGUAAGAUGUUUUAGCAUGCUUUUGGUAUUAGCCUUGUUGGUUACUUUCAGAUUUUCAGACUUAUUCAGUUUUCGCAUUUG